This 67-nucleotide transfer RNA is filed under the name marine eukaryotic metagenome. It matches the Rfam family "tRNA". Rfam says of the family: Transfer RNA (tRNA) molecules are approximately 80 nucleotides in length. Their secondary structure includes four short double-helical elements and three loops (D, anti-codon, and T loops). The record is from RNAcentral.
CAGGUAGCUCAGUUGGUAGAGCAGUGGACUGAAAAUCCUCGUGUCGGUGGUUCGAAUCCGCCCCUGG